This 253-nucleotide ribosomal RNA is filed under the name uncultured bacterium. RNAcentral describes it as "partial 16S ribosomal RNA". It matches the Rfam family "Bacterial small subunit ribosomal RNA", at positions 524 to 776 of the family's 1533-position model. The record is from RNAcentral.
UACGAAGGGUGCAAGCGUUAAUCGGAAUUACUGGGCGUAAAGCGUGCGCAGGCGGUUUUGUAAGCCAGAUGUGAAAGCCCCGGGCUCAACCUGGGAAUGGCAUUUGGGACUGCAAGGCUUGAGUGCGGCAGAGGAGACUGGAAUUCCUGGUGUAGCAGUGAAAUGCGUAGAUAUCAGGAGGAAUACCGAUGGCGAAGGCAGGUCUCUGGGCUGACACUGACGCUCAUGCACGAAAGCGUGGGGAGCAAACAGG